Molecule: ribosomal RNA, 400 nt
Filed under: phytoplankton environmental sample
Lineage: Eukaryota
Description: partial small subunit ribosomal RNA
Rfam family: Eukaryotic small subunit ribosomal RNA
Source: RNAcentral
AGCUCCAAUAGCGUAUAUUAAAGUUGUUGCAGUUAAAAAGCUCGUAGUUGGAUUUUGGGUUUGGUUUUAGUUCGGUUUACUUAUUGUAAUACUGUCUAGGCCGCCCUUCUUCUCGAGGCCUCUGGGUGCACUUAACCGUGUGUUCAGAGUGUUCGGGACUUUUACCGUGAGAAAAUUAGAGUGUUCAAAGCAGGCUUUUGCUUGAAUAUUGCAGCAUGGAAUAAUGGAAUAGGAUCAUGAUCUUAUUUUGUUGGUUUCUAAGAUCAAGAUAAUGAUUAAUAGGGAUAGUUGGGGGCAUUAAUAUUUAGUUGUCAGAGGUGAAAUUCUUAGAUUUACAAAAGAUUAACUUCUGCGAAAGCAUUUGCCAAGGAUGUUUUCGUUAAUCAAGAACGAAAGUAGG